AUUGAACGCUGGCGGCAGGCCUAACACAUGCAAGUCGAACGAGUGGCGGACGGGUGAGUAACACGUGGGUAACCUCCCCAUCAGAGGGGGAUAACACUUGGAAACAGGUGCUAAUACCGCAUACUGCUGGAUGGCCCGCGGUGCAUUAGGUAGUUGGGGAGGUAACGGCUCACCAAGGCCACGAUGCAUAGCCGACCUGGGAGGGUGGUCGGCCACACUGGGACUGGGGAACGGGCCAGACUCCUACGGGAGGCAGCAGUAGGGAAUCUUCGGAAAUGGGGGGAACCCUGACCGAGCAAAGCCGCGUGAGUGAAGAAGGUUUUCGGAUCGUAAAGGUCUGUUGUUAAGGAAGCGGUACUUAACCAGAAAGGGACGGCUAACUACGUGCCAGCAGCCGCGGUAAUAC
RNAcentral lists this ribosomal RNA (406 nucleotides) under uncultured bacterium. RNAcentral describes it as "partial 16S ribosomal RNA". It matches the Rfam family "Bacterial small subunit ribosomal RNA", at positions 29 to 526 of the family's 1533-position model. The record is from RNAcentral.